UCCCUGGUGGUCCAGUGGCUAAAAUUCUGCACUCCAGAUGCAAGUGACCCAGGUUCGAUCCCUAGUCAGGGAA
Molecule: non-coding RNA, 73 nt
Organism: Bos taurus (domestic cattle)
Lineage: Eukaryota; Metazoa; Chordata; Mammalia; Artiodactyla; Bovidae
Source: Rfam